GGUUGACAGCAGUUUUAUAUUUAAUGGUUUUAAACAACAAAAGAAAACUUAAUAGUAAUGUCAAGUAGAUUCUAAUGUUGUUUUGAAAGGUGAUUGACAUGUUUUAGUCAUAAAAAUUCCAAAACAGAUACACAAUAGUUUCAAAUGACUUUAUGCAACAUCAUCUAAAUGGAUAAAUUUUGACAAAGCAAUUUCAAUCUCAAUGUCUUAUUGUGAUGUAGAACCUUACCAAGAUUCCUCAUUCAUGACUUGCUUAGUCAAUCCAUAAAAGGGAAGUUUUGAUGCAAUUUGCUGUCAUCCCAAGUGCACCUUAGUCCUUAAAACUAACUUUUAGUUGCUUUUAUUCAAAUCAUUCAAUUGGGUGCAUUUCUUAUGAGUGGCCACAAUAGCAAUGCGAUAUAUAUAUUCUUAAUUAUGUUGUUUGAUAAGCUGAUGUGAUGCCUAUUUUUUCAUCCAAUGGUCCAUUCUUUUUUCUUAUUUUUUCAACCUUUUUAUUAAUUAACUUUGAAGAAAUAAUCUUGUUUGGGUAUUUACCUGUUAUGAAUAAGGGAUGGAAGAGCUUGGUGAGUUUAAUUAGAUGGGCUGACUGUAAUGAGCUGGACUGUUAUCUGUUAUUUUGUUAAGUAGUAGGUGUUAGUAUAAGUAGUAGGUGUUAGAGCACUGUUCUCGAGUGGGCUUGCUUCCAAAUCAGUUUGUGGGAGUUGCAACCAUGGGAGGUCAAUGGCAGUCUUCCAAAUUCCAGGGUUCUCCAAAUGAUCUUGCUUAUCGAGAGACUGCAAGAAGGGUUCCGGCAUCAAACAGAUUGCCUUCUUGGAAAUUCUGUCAAGCUGCAUGAAGACCAAGAUGCCUCAAGUGAAGUUUCCAAUAAGAAUGACAAGGGCACUAUUGAGAUGGGGUAGCAUGAUUUUCUUCCUAAUAUGUCUAGUAUAAGUGAGGUUUUUGAGGAGAAGAAUGAUGACGAUGUAGAAGACUGAAACCAUGGAAUUGAAGUUUAUUGGGGUGAUGACAAGGAAUUGAGAAAGAAUGGGGAGAGUGAGGCUAAGGGGAAGGCUAUAUCGCUUGAUAAAAGAUAAUCAUUCAUGGUGGAAAUGAACAGAAUAAGACUCAAAAGGAGGAACAAAAAUUUCAAAUUAUAGAGGUUUUUAUAGAAAAUAAAAAGAUUUCUCAAUGCAUGGAAGACCAUCAUCAGGGUUUGGAUUCAAAAGCUUCCCUUGUCAAUUCAGGGUUUAGAGAAUUGGAGCUUGGGAAUAUUUCGGAAAAUGAACAUGGGAAGAGUGUGAGACUUGUUAAUGGCAACACUUUUAAGAGGGUGUCUUCUGUAAAGAAAGGAAUUGGGUUUUGUUUUGUAAUUAGAAGUGAUACUGAAGGUAGUCUUCUUCUUGUUGGAAUUGUUGAAGAUUUUGAAAACAAUAAUGAUGUCUAUAUUGGGAAUAUUUCAAUUCAAGAAGAUUUGGAAGAGGCAUAUCAUACUCAAAGAGAAUGAAUUUGAAAAAUGGAGGAGACAGAAGAAGAAAAUCCAAUUGAAUGUGGUGGAAAUGCUAAUAAUACUGACACUACUGCCUCUAUUCCAAAAUUUUCUUUUCAAGCUUUGAUGCAGAUGAUUAUAGAUUCUACAAGCAUUUAAGGGUUAGCUUUAUUUAUUUAUUUAUUUUUUCAUUCUUGGGGACAAGAAUGAUUUCAAGGAGUGGGGAAUGUUAUGACUAAGGGAUGGAAGAGUUUGAUGAGUUUAAUUAGAUGGGCUGACUGUAAUGAGCCAGGUUGUUAUCUGUUAUUUUGUUAAGUAGUAGGUGUUAGUAUAAAUAGGAGGGAGUACUUGUAAUUGAGGCAUUUCUAUAAUCAAUAACAAAUGUUGAAUUCUUCUUUCUUU
Long non-coding RNA from Hevea brasiliensis (rubber tree), 1867 nucleotides. RefSeq lists it as uncharacterized. NCBI's taxonomy places the organism in Eukaryota, Viridiplantae, Streptophyta, Magnoliopsida, Malpighiales, Euphorbiaceae. The record is from RefSeq and is a predicted model, not a curated record. The transcript is spliced from 2 exons.